AUAUACAUCUUUAAUGUACUUUAUUGACCUGAACUUUUUUAGCAAAAUAUUUUGAUGACUUAACCAGGGUGCUCAGAAAGGAAACCAAUACUUGGAUCAUAAUAUAUAUUGCCAGUCUUUAUAUAGAAUAGAUGCACAUCGCUACCUUUGAUUUUUAGAUUACACUUCGUGUUUUUCUCCUUGGGGUUUUUUUUAAGAUAAUUGAAGCGGUCUGAAAAACCUUUGAAGAAAACCCUCCAAGUGCUGCUCUGGGGGUUGUGCUGCUCUGGGGGGUUGUGCUGUCGCCCUUCAGGGUCUCACUGCCUCUCUGUGUUGUCCCACAGCGGUUAGGUGCGCUCGGAGCGGUUUGGGAGUCCCUGCGUGUGGAGCCCGGGCACGCCGCGGCACGCCGGGCACUGCCGGGGAGCAGCGCGCCGCAGAAGCGCCAUCCGCUGGCACAGAGCUGCCCGCUGCUGCAGGCUGCUAGCCAUGCAGCGGGGCUGCUGCCCCGCCUUGCGAUCUCUGCUAACACCGCACUCCAGCAGCAGACUGGAAUCUUCACGGAUCACUCAGACCCAUCUUCAUGGUUCUGGGAUUUGACCACAGGCUUGUUUCCCCUGGUAAGCUCAGCUUAAUUAUUUUUGAGAACAAAGCAGCUCUGGCACAAUAUGGCACCUCACACUACAGCGUGAAAGACAAGCAGGUAAAGUAGUAGUCUACAGCUUGAAGAGAAGCAUUUUGAAAAAUAAACCCAUACCUUUUGUUGCUGGC
Passer montanus (Eurasian tree sparrow) is the source of this 750-nucleotide long non-coding RNA. RefSeq lists it as uncharacterized. The transcript is spliced from 2 exons. Lineage: Eukaryota; Metazoa; Chordata; Aves; Passeriformes; Passeridae. The record is from RefSeq and is a predicted model, not a curated record.